Molecule: ribosomal RNA, 876 nt
Filed under: Fulvifomes kawakamii
Lineage: Eukaryota; Fungi; Basidiomycota; Agaricomycetes; Hymenochaetales; Hymenochaetaceae
Description: eukaryotic LSU rRNA
Rfam family: Eukaryotic large subunit ribosomal RNA
Source: RNAcentral
UAACAAGGAUUCCCCUAGUAACUGCGAGUGAAGCGGGAAGAGCUCAAAUUUAAAAUCUGGCGGCUUCUAGUCGUCCGAGUUGUAACCUGGAGAGGCAUUUUCCGCGUUGGACCGUGUACAAGUCUCCUGGAAUGGAGCGUCAUAGAGGGUGAGAAUCCCGUCCAUGACACGGACCGCCGAUGCUCUGUGAUAUGCCUUCGAAGAGUCGCGUUGUUUGGGAAUGCAGCGCAAAAUGGGUGGUAAAUUCCAUCUAAAGCUAAAUAUUGGCGAGAGACCGAUAGCGAACAAGUACCGUGAGGGAAAGAUGAAAAGCACUUUGGAAAGAGAGUUAAACAGUACGUGAAAUUGUUGAAAGGGAAACGCUUGAAGUCAGUCGCGUUCCGUGGAACUCAGCCUUACUUCGGUUUGGUGUACUUUCCAUUUGAACGGGUCAACGUCAAUUUUGGCCGGUGGACAAAGACAAGGGGAAUGUAGCGUUGCUUCGGUGACGUGUUAUAGACCCUUGUUGUAUACACCGGUUAGGAUUGAGGACUGCAGCACGCCCUUGUGGCCGGGGGUUCGCCCCAUGUAACGUGCUUAGGAUGUUGGCAUAAUGGCUUUAAGCGACCCGUCUUGAAACACGGACCAAGGAGUCUAACAUGCUUGCGAGUGUUCGGGUGGAAAACCCUUGCGCGUAAUGAAAGUGAAAGUUAGGAACCUUCUCGCAAGAGAGGGUGCAUUGACGCCCGGCCCUGACGUUCUCUGACGGUGCUGCGGUAGAGCAAGUGCGUUGGGACCCGAAAGAUGGUGAACUAUGCCUGAAUAGGGCGAAGCCAGAGGAAACUCUGGUGGAGGCUCGUAGCGAUUCUGACGUGCAAAUCGAUCGUCAAAUUUGGG